CACGGAGUUAGCCGGGGCUUAUUCUCCCGGUACUGUCAUUAUCAUCCCGGGUAAAAGAGCUUUACAACCCUAAGGCCUUCAUCACUCACGCGGCGUCGCUGGAUCAGGCUUUCGCCCAUUGUCCAAUAUUCCCCA
Molecule: ribosomal RNA, 135 nt
Filed under: uncultured bacterium
Lineage: Bacteria
Description: partial 16S ribosomal RNA
Source: RNAcentral